CCGUGAAAACCUGAGGCUCAACCUCGGGCGUGCGGUGGAUACUGCCGGGCUAGAGGACGGUAGAGGCGAGUGGAAUUCCCGGUGUAGCGGUGAAAUGCGCAGAUAUCGGGAGGAACACCAGUAGCGAAGGCGGCUCGCUGGGCCGUUCCUGACGCUGAGACGCGAAAGCUAGGGGAGCGAACAGGAUUAGAUACCCUGGUAGUCCUAGCCGUAAACGAUGGACACUAGGUGUGGGGGGAGUCGAAUCCCUCUGUGCCGCAGUUAACGCGUUAAGUGUCCCGCCUGGGGAGUACGGCCGCAAGGCUAAAACUCAAAAGAAUUGACGGGGGCCCGCACAAGCAGCGGAGCAUGUUCUUUAAUUCGAUGCAACGCGAAGAACCUUACCUGGACUUGACAUGGUGCUGCAAGCGCACGGAAACGUGUGACCUUCGAGGGUGCACCACAGAUGCUGCAUGGCUGUCGUCAGCUCGUGUCGUGAGAUGUUGGGUUAAGUCCCGCAACGAGCGCAACCCCNUGUGGCGUGUUGCCAUCAUUAAGUUGGGGACUCACGCCAGACUGCCGGUGACAAACCGRRGRAAGGUGGGGAUGAGGUCAAGUCAUCAUGGCUCUUACGUCCAGGGCUAGAAACGUGCUACAAUGGCUGAUACAAAGGGUUGCAAGACCGCAAGGUGGAGCGAAUCUCAUCAAAGUCAGUCUAAGUUCGGAUCGCAGUCUGCAACUCGACUGCGUGAAGGCGGAGUUGCUAGUAAUCGCGGAUCAGCAUGCCGCGGUGAAUACGUUCCCGGGCCUUGUACACACCGCCCGUCACACCACGAAAGUCGGCAAUACCCGAAGCAGGCGCAGCCAACCCCUUGUGGGAGGCGKYCYRMGRAGGUAGGGSUGGCGAUUGGGGUGAAGUCGUAACAAGGUAGCCGUACCUGAAGGUGCGGCUGGAUCACCUCCUUUCUAGGGAGUAGGUAGGGCAGCAAUGCCCGACCGAUCGGACACCGAUACAAAGGAUGGCUCGAGCGUUAGCUCGCCGCUUUUCGGUGUACCGCUCUAGGAUAUUUCGACCUGUCUUAAGGCGGGGGGUUCUCAUCCUGUUCGAGUAGCUGCUAUUCAGUUUUCAGGGCCUUUGGUCCUGAUCUUUUGGCGUGCGCCCGCGAGAGCGUGGCGUCUGGUCUUUGAAAACCGCAUAGCGCGAUCCAAUGUACCAUCAAGAUACUAAGGGCGUAUGGUGGAUGCCUUGGCACCGGAAGCCGAUGAAGGACGUGGCAAGCUGCGAUAAGCCGUGUGGAGCCGCAAGCGGGCUAGGAAGCAC
RNAcentral lists this small RNA (1300 nucleotides) under uncultured bacterium. RNAcentral describes it as "bacterial SSU rRNA". The stretch from base 1 to 945 matches the Rfam family "Bacterial small subunit ribosomal RNA", at positions 592 to 1533 of the family's 1533-position model. The record is from RNAcentral.